AGCGAACGCUGGCGGCAGGCCUAACACAUGCAAGUCGAACGAACCUUUCGGGGUUAGUGGCGGACGGGUGAGUAACACGUGGGAACGUGCCUUUAGGUUCGGAAUAACUCAGGGAAACUUGUGCUAAUACCGAAUGUGCCCUUCGGGGGAAAGAUUAAUCGCCUUUAGAGCGGCCCGCGUCUGAUUAGCUAGUUGGUUGAGGUAAUGGCUCACCAAGGCGACGAUCAGUAGCUGGUCUGAGAGGAUGAUCAGCCACAUUGGGACUGAGACACGGCCCAAACCCCUGCGGGGGGCGGAAGUGGGGAAUUUUGCGCAGGGGGGAAAAGCCUGACGCAGCCAUGCCGCGUGAAGGAGGAAGGUCUUAGAAUUGAAAAAUUCUUUCACCGGGAACGAUAAUGGCGGGACCCGGAGAAAAAGCCCCGGCUAACUUCGU
Molecule: ribosomal RNA, 433 nt
Filed under: uncultured bacterium
Lineage: Bacteria
Description: partial 16S ribosomal RNA
Rfam family: Bacterial small subunit ribosomal RNA
Source: RNAcentral